Molecule: transfer RNA, 98 nt
Filed under: Caenorhabditis elegans
Lineage: Eukaryota; Metazoa; Nematoda; Chromadorea; Rhabditida; Rhabditidae
Description: Unclassified non-coding RNA K08E7.12
Source: RNAcentral
AAAAAACCGCAAAAAGAUAAGCCCAAUGCGGGGCUCGAACCCGCGACAACCAGAUUAAGAGUCUGGUGCUCUACCGACUGAGCUAACCGGGCGGCAUU